GGGGCCGUAGCUCAGAUGGGAGAGCGUUGCGUUCGCAAUGCAAAGGUCGGGGGUUCGAUUCCCCCCGGCUCCACCA
Molecule: transfer RNA, 76 nt
Filed under: Magnetococcales bacterium
Lineage: Bacteria; Pseudomonadati; Pseudomonadota; Magnetococcia; Magnetococcales
Description: tRNA-Ala
Rfam family: tRNA
About the family: Transfer RNA (tRNA) molecules are approximately 80 nucleotides in length. Their secondary structure includes four short double-helical elements and three loops (D, anti-codon, and T loops). Further hydrogen bonds mediate the characteristic L-shaped molecular structure. tRNAs have two regions of fundamental functional importance: the anti-codon, which is responsible for specific mRNA codon recognition, and the 3' end, to which the tRNAs corresponding amino acid is attached (by aminoacyl-tRNA synthetases). tRNAs cope with the degeneracy of the genetic code in two manners: having more than one tRNA (with a specific anti-codon) for a particular amino acid; and 'wobble' base-pairing, i.e. permitting non-standard base-pairing at the 3rd anti-codon position.
Source: RNAcentral